RNAcentral lists this ribosomal RNA (635 nucleotides) under uncultured Polaromonas sp. RNAcentral describes it as "bacterial SSU rRNA". It matches the Rfam family "Bacterial small subunit ribosomal RNA", at positions 8 to 636 of the family's 1533-position model. Lineage: Bacteria; Pseudomonadati; Pseudomonadota; Betaproteobacteria; Burkholderiales; Comamonadaceae. The record is from RNAcentral.
AGAGUUUGAUCAUGGCUCAGAUUGAACGCUGGCGGCAUGCCUUACACAUGCAAGUCGAACGGCAGCACGGGAGCAAUCCUGGUGGCGAGUGGCGAACGGGUGAGUAAUAUAUCGGAACGUGCCCAGUCGUGGGGGAUAACGUAGAGAAAUUUACGCUAAUACCGCAUACGAUCUACGGAUGAAAGCGGGGGACUCGCAAGAGCCUCGCGCGACUGGAGCGGCUGAUAUCAGAUUAGGUUGUUGGUGAGGUAAAAGCUCACCAAGCCGACGAUCUGUAGCUGGUUUGAGAGAACGACCAGCCACACUGGGACUGAGACACGGCCCAGACUCCUACGGGAGGCAGCAGUGGGGAAUUUUGGACAAUGGGCGCAAGCCUGAUCCAGCAAUGCCGCGUGCAGGAAGAAGGCCUUCGGGUUGUAAACUGCUUUUGUACGGAACGAAAAGGUCCUUUCUAAUACAAGGGGCUAAUGACGGUACCGUAAGAAUAAGCACCGGCUAACUACGUGCCAGCAGCCGCGGUAAUACGUAGGGUGCGAGCGUUAAUCGGAAUUACUGGGCGUAAAGCGUGCGCAGGCGGUUAUGUAAGACAGUUGUGAAAUCCCCGGGCUCAACCUGGGAAUUGCAUCUGUGACUGC